UCAGGCCUAACACAUGCAAGUCGAGCGGUAACAGGGGGUGCUUGCACCCCGCUGACGAGCGGCGGACGGGUGAGUAAUGCUUAGGAAUCUGCCCAGUAGUGGGGGACAACAGUCGGAAACGGCUGCUAAUACCGCAUACGCCCUACGGGGGAAAGCAGGGGAUCUUCGGACCUUGCGCUAUUGGAUGAGCCUAAGUCGGAUUAGCUAGUUGGUGGGGUAAAGGCCUACCAAGGCGACGAUCCGUAGCUGGUCUGAGAGGAUGAUCAGCCACAUCGGGACUGAGACACGGCCCGAACUCCUACGGGAGGCACAGUGGGGAAUAUUGGACAAUGGGGGCAACCCUGAUCCAGCCAUGCCGCGUGUGUGAAGAAGGCUUUCGGGUUGUAAAGCACUUUCAGCGAGGAGGAAGGCCUUAAAGUUAAUACCUUUAAGGAUUGACGUUACUCGCAGAAGAAGCACCGG
This 462-nucleotide ribosomal RNA is filed under the name uncultured Gammaproteobacteria bacterium. Its description in RNAcentral is "bacterial SSU rRNA". It matches the Rfam family "Bacterial small subunit ribosomal RNA", at positions 42 to 496 of the family's 1533-position model. Lineage: Bacteria; Pseudomonadati; Pseudomonadota; Gammaproteobacteria. The record is from RNAcentral.